RNAcentral lists this small nucleolar RNA (153 nucleotides) under Drosophila grimshawi. RNAcentral describes it as "snoRNA:GH25850". Lineage: Eukaryota; Metazoa; Arthropoda; Insecta; Diptera; Drosophilidae. The record is from RNAcentral.
GACGCACAAAACCCAAUUGAGGCAACUCCUUUUUGUGGUUGUCCCAGUUUGACCUUUUUGAAUGUGUCUAGGUGCGAUAUGAAUUAAACUUGGCGUCGCAUUUGCCAUAACCUCAUUUAAAUGGUAUGGUGAACUGAAACUUCGAGUUACAAA